This 388-nucleotide ribosomal RNA is filed under the name Gephyrocapsa sp. Its description in RNAcentral is "partial small subunit ribosomal RNA". It matches the Rfam family "Eukaryotic small subunit ribosomal RNA", at positions 582 to 975 of the family's 1831-position model. The record is from RNAcentral. Lineage: Eukaryota; Haptophyta; Isochrysidales; Noelaerhabdaceae.
AUUCCAGCUCCAAUAGCGUAUAUUAAAGUUGUUGCAGUUAAAACGCUCGUAGUCGGAUUUCGGGGCGGGCCGACCGGUCUGCCGAUGGGUAUGCACUGGCCGGCGCGUCCUUCCACCCGGAGACCGCGCCUACUCUUAACUGAGCGGGCGCGGGAGACGGGUCUUUUACUUUGAAAAAAUCAGAGUGUUUCAAGCAGGCAGUCGCUCUUGCAUGGAUUAGCAUGGGAUAAUGAAAUAGGACUCUGGUGCUAUUUUGUUGGUUCCGAACACCGGAGUAAUGAUUAAUAGGGACAGUUGGGGACAUUUAUAUUCCAUGGCUAGAGGUGAAAUUCUUGGAUUCAUGGAAGAUAAACUACUGCGAAAGCAUUUGUCAAAGAUGUUUUCAUUA